GAUGAAGAACGCAGCGAAAUGCGAUAAGUAAUGUGAAUUGCAGAAUUCAGUGAAUCAUCGAAUCUUUGAACGCACAUUGCGCCCGCCAGUAUUCUGGCGGGCAUGCCUGUUCGAGCGUCAUUUCAACCCUCAAGCUCUGCUUGUGUUGGGGUCCUGCGGCUGCCCGCAGGCCCUGAAACCCAGUGGCGGGCUCGCUAGUCACACCGAGCGCAGUAGCACAUCUCGCUCAGGGCGUGCGGCGGGUUCUUGCCGUAAAACAACCCCCCCUUUUCACCAAGGUUGACCUCGGAUCAGGUAGGAAUACCCGCUGAACUUAAGCAUAUCAAUAAGCGGAGGA
RNAcentral lists this unclassified non-coding RNA (337 nucleotides) under soil metagenome. RNAcentral's name for it is "partial contains 5.8S ribosomal RNA, internal transcribed spacer 2, and large subunit ribosomal RNA". The stretch from base 1 to 120 matches the Rfam family "5.8S ribosomal RNA", at positions 35 to 154 of the family's 154-position model. The record is from RNAcentral.